RNAcentral lists this ribosomal RNA (377 nucleotides) under uncultured bacterium. RNAcentral describes it as "bacterial SSU rRNA". It matches the Rfam family "Bacterial small subunit ribosomal RNA", at positions 521 to 896 of the family's 1533-position model. The record is from RNAcentral.
UAAUACGUAGGUGGCGAGCGUUGUCCGGAUUUACUGGGCGUACAGGGCGCGCAGGCGGUUCGUUAAGUUCGAGGUGAAAUCUCCUGGCUCAACUGGGAGGGGUCUUCGAAAACUGGCGGGCUUGAGGAGAGCAGAGGUGAGUGGAAUUCUGGGUGUAGUGGUGAAAUGCGUAGAUAUCCAGAGGAACACCAGUGGCGAAGGCGACUCACUGGGCUCCACCUGACGCUGAGGCGCGAAAGCGUGGGGAGCGAACCGGAUUAGAUACCCGGGUAGUCCACGCCGUAAACGAUGGACACUAGGUGUGGGGGGUAUUGACCCCCUCCGUGCCGCAGCUAACGCGAUAAGUGUCCCGCCUAGGGAGUACGGCCGCAAGGCUA